Molecule: ribosomal RNA, 364 nt
Filed under: Lopharia papyracea
Lineage: Eukaryota; Fungi; Basidiomycota; Agaricomycetes; Polyporales; Polyporaceae
Description: SSU rRNA
Rfam family: Bacterial small subunit ribosomal RNA
Source: RNAcentral
CUAGCUAACUGAAAUCAUAGAGUUUAUUUAAACUCAUGAUGUCGUAAGGGAAAAUAAUGAUAAUACCUUACUAAUAGUGUCGUCCAAAUCUGGUGCCAGAAGACUCGGUAAGACCAGAGACGCAAACGUUAAUCAUCUUAAACAGGCGUAAAGGGUUUGUAGGCAGCUUUCAGAAGUACUAUAAUUAAGCAAAUAAAGUAGUCUAAUUGGAAGCUAGAAUCAAAUGGAGGUUAUAGUGUAUAACGCUUAGAGGAGGGCUGAUAUCCUUAGAUCCUAAGCAGAAUACUCAGGGCGAAGGCCACUUUCCACUAAUGAUUGACGCUGAGAAACGAAGGUUAGGGUAGGAAAUAGGAUUAGAUACCCC